AUGACUCAAUUGUCAUUUCAGUCAAAGUAACCUGAGGAUCCUAAGACGAAAUGGCCACUUAUAUAGCCAGAUGGCCCCUUCCAUUCUGGCAGGCUCUGGUGGACUUCAUCACGUAGGAAAGCAAUAUUCCCAAUUAAAGGGAUAAUUCACCCAAAAAUGAAAAUUCUAUCAUUAACUGCUCAACCUUCAUGUCGUUUUAAACCGGCAAGAUCUUCGGUCAUCUUCAGAACACAAAUUAAAAUAUUUUUGAUGAAAUCCAAGAGCUUUCUGACCGUGCAUAGUGAGCAACACAACUGGAAUGUCCCCAGACCCAGAAACGUAGUAAGGACAUCAGUAAAACAGUCAUCACAUCAGUGGUUAAACCGUAAUUUUACAAAGCUACAAGCAGGGCGUAACUAGGCGGUUGCCUAGGGCGACAAAUAUGUUGGGGGCGUGGGCGCCCUCUAGGGUCGGCGUUACGUUAUGUUACGUUACGCAAGUGCGCAGCUGAUGAAGAAAAUGAAGUGGUCUAAUAAACCCUCCGGUGCACAGGGAUGAAAACGGAGAAAGGAAGAAGAUAAAAGGAAAACCCAGUAUAGAGAUGCACUCACCCAAUAUUUGCAGAGGCCGGCACCUGCUGGAGAAAGGACACCUGAUCCUUCAUGUUCUCCUCUCUCUGAACUUUCUGCAGGAGUAGGGACAUCCGGUACUGGUACUCCAGGAACCAGUGACACAUAGGCCAGGAACACACAGCCUGCAUCAAGUAAAGGUGAAGGGACACCCGGGACCACAUCAAGCACUCAGGGCACCAGUGAAGGACAGACGACUGAGACCAGGGACACGCAGCCUGAAGGAAGUGAAGGGGCCACAUCUAGCAUUCCGGGCCCCAGUGAAACACAGACCACUGAGACCAGGAAUACUCAGCCUGAAGCAAGUGAAGGAACAACAAACACAACAUGCUCUGCUACUACACUGCCGCCUGCAGACACCUCACCCUCUGCAAUUCCUGAUGUCCAGGGAGCACCUAUAGAUCCUGCUGACUGGCCAGCCCUCUGUGAUGCGGUGAAGGGGCCACAUCUAGCAUUCCGGGCCCCAGUGAAACACAGACCACUGAGACCAGGGAUACUCAGCCUGAAGCAAGUAAGAC
This is a long non-coding RNA of Cyprinus carpio (common carp), 1126 nucleotides long. RefSeq lists it as uncharacterized. Lineage: Eukaryota; Metazoa; Chordata; Actinopteri; Cypriniformes; Cyprinidae. The record is from RefSeq and is a predicted model, not a curated record. The transcript has 7 exons.